CAGCAGGGGGCAGUGUGUGUGUUCUGGGGAGACCAAUGCCUGCCUGGAUGCGGAGGGGGUUGAGGGGGCCUCCCGCUCCCUGGGAACAGCUGUUCAACUCUGCUAAGGCUGAUUCCUCUUUGAGACCACCCCAGUCCUUUCUCCACACAGGGCAGUUGUGAGGACUAUGGGGGUGGGGGGCCUGUUUGUGGAAGCCCUUUGUGAAUGACAAAGCCCUGUCCUCCAUGCCUUGCUAUUACCAUCGGGGCCAUGUGGCUUUGGACACAGAUGGGUGGGUUCCAGGGUCUAAUUCCCCAUGGUCUUCCCUGAAGAAACAUACACUCAGCCUCCUGUGAGAUCCCAGGCCCCUCCCUCACUGCCCUAACCCGGUCUGAUUUCCAGCUUGUAGAGAGUGCCUGAGAGGCCUGGAGGAGACUUGGGACCUGCUUUCACAACUGCAGAGCCUCCUAGGGCCACACCUUGAAAAAGGUGACUUUGGUCAGCUCUCCGGUCCAGACUCCCCAGGUGAGGUGGGCAAAAGAGCACCUGAUGGAGCCUCCCGGUCCUCUCAUGAGCCUAUAGAAGAUGCUGCUCCCAUUCUCUCCCUGUUAGCUUCCCCGGAUCCUUGAACCAAGCAUCCUCAGGAUCUGGCCUCCACCCCACCACCAGGCCCAAUGACCACCUCAGUCUCCUCCCUAAGUGCCUCCCAGCCACCAGAACCUUCCCUUCUCCUAGAACAUCCCUCACCCGAGCCACCUGCACUUUUCCCUCACCCACCACGCACUCCUGAUCCUCUGGCCUGCUCUCCGCCUCCUCCAAAAGGCUUCACUGCUCCUCCCCUGUGGGACUCCACUCUGAUAACUCCAUCUAACUGUGACUCAGUGGCACUUCCACUGGACACUGUCCCUCAAAGCUUGACUCCACGUGAGGAUUUGGCAGCUUCUGUCCCAGCCAUCUCAGGUCUUGGCGGCUCAAAUAGUCAAGUUUCUGCCUUCUCCUGGUGGCAGGAGACUACCAGAACCUGGUGCGUCUUCAAUUCGUCAGUCCAGCAAGAUCAUCUUUCCCGCCACCCACCAGAGACCUGUCAGAUGGAAGCUGGUAGACCAUUUUUGCUCAGCUCUGAUGGCCAGGAUGUCGUGGGGAUACAAGUCACAGAAAUCAACAUUUGAGAGGAAAAAGAAAAUGAUGGACGAUUUCCAAAACAGCCCACAAAAGCACUUGAAUGCUUUGGGGAAUUUGGUUAAAUCACUGGAUGCUGAGCAGGACACCACAAGCCCAAAACCCUUCUGGAACAUGGGAGAGAACUCAAAAUAGCUGCCCAGUCCUCAGAAGCUCUCAGAUCCUAGGCUCUUGCAGGAAAGUUUUCAGAAGAAUUAUAGCCAGCUUUUCUGGGGCCUCCCCUCUCUGCACAGUGAAUCUCUGGUGGCUAAUGCCUGGGUCACUGACUGUAUGUAAGGGUCUUACAUCCUUACAUCAAUGAAAUGUCCAAUGUCUGCCCAAUUCAAAGGGAGACUACAAUGUCCCCACUGCUUUUCCAGGCCCAGCCCCUGUCCCAUCUGGGGCCUGAGUCCCAACCCUUUAUUUCAUCCACACCCCAAUUCCGGCCCACACCUAUGGCUCAGGCCCAUCUUCAAUCCUCUUUCCCAGUCCUAUCUCCUGCUUUUCCAUCCCCGAUGAAGAACACUGGAGUAGCUUGCCCUGCGUCGCAGAAUAAAGUGCAAGCUCUCUCCCUACCUGAAA
Long non-coding RNA from Homo sapiens (human), 1719 nucleotides. The record is from Ensembl. Lineage: Eukaryota; Metazoa; Chordata; Mammalia; Primates; Hominidae.